AACGAACGCUGGCGGCAUGCCUAACACAUGCAAGUCGAACGAGACCUUCGGGUCUAGUGGCGCACGGGUGCGUAACGCGUGGGAACCUGCCCUUAGGUUCGGAAUAACUCCCCGAAAGGGGUGCUAAUACCGGAUAAUGUCUUCGGACCAAAGAUUUAUCGCCUUUGGAUGGGCCCGCGUUGGAUUAGCUAGUUGGUAGGGUAAAAGCCUACCAAGGCGACGAUCCAUAGCUGGUCUGAGAGGAUGAUCAGCCACACUGGGACUGAGACACGGCCCAGACUCCUAGGGGAGGCAGCAGGGGGGAAAUUUGGACAAGGGGCGAAAGCCUGAUCCAGCAAUGCCGGGGGGGGGAUGAAGGCCUUGGGGUUGUAAAGCUUUUUUACCCGGGAUGAAAAUGACGGUACCGGGAGAAAAAGCCCCGGCUAACUCCGU
This 432-nucleotide ribosomal RNA is filed under the name uncultured bacterium. RNAcentral's name for it is "partial 16S ribosomal RNA". It matches the Rfam family "Bacterial small subunit ribosomal RNA", at positions 29 to 506 of the family's 1533-position model. The record is from RNAcentral.